RNAcentral lists this unclassified non-coding RNA (344 nucleotides) under soil metagenome. RNAcentral's name for it is "partial contains 5.8S ribosomal RNA, internal transcribed spacer 2, and large subunit ribosomal RNA". The stretch from base 1 to 120 matches the Rfam family "5.8S ribosomal RNA", at positions 35 to 154 of the family's 154-position model. The record is from RNAcentral.
GAUGAAGAACGUAGCGAAAUGCGAUACGUAAUGUGAAUUGCAGAAUUCAGUGAAUCAUCGAGUCUUUGAACGCACAUUGCGCCCCCUGGUAUUCCGGGGGGCAUGCCUGUCCGAGCGUCAUUGCUGCCCUCAAGCACGGCUUGUGUGUUGGGCCUCCGUCCUCCUCCCGGGGGACGGGCCCGAAAGGCAGCGGCGGCACCGCGUCCGGUCCUCGAGCGUAUGGGGCUUCGUCACCCGCUCUUGUAGGCCCGGCCGGCGCUUGCCGACACAUCAAUCUUUUUUCCAGGUGGACCUCGGAUCAGGUAGGGAUACCCGCUGAACUUAAGCAUAUCAAUAAGGGAGGA